CCUACGGGGUGCUGCAGUGGGGAAUAUUGGGCAAUGGACGCAAGUCUGACCCAGCAACGCCGCGUGAAGGAAGAAGGCUUUCGGGUUGUAAACUUCUUUUAAGGGGGAAGAGCAGAAGACGGUACCUCUUGAAUAAGCCACGGCUAACUACGUGCCAGCAGCCGCGGUAAUACGUAGGUGGCAAGCGUUGUCCGGAUUUACUGGGUGUAAAGGGCGUGCAGCCGGAGAGACAUGUCAGAGGUGAAAUCCACGGGCUCAACCCGUGAACUGCAGUUGAAACUGUCACCCUUGAGUGUCGGAGAGGUAAGCGGAAUGCCGGGUGUAGCGGUGAAAUGCGUAGAUAUAAGGAAGAACACCAGUGGCGAAGGCGGAUUACUGGACGAUAACUGACGGUGAGGCGCGAAAGCGUGGGGAGCGAACAGGAUUAGAUACCCGUGUAGUC
Molecule: ribosomal RNA, 442 nt
Filed under: uncultured bacterium
Lineage: Bacteria
Description: partial 16S ribosomal RNA
Rfam family: Bacterial small subunit ribosomal RNA
Source: RNAcentral